UUUAAGUGUAUUUUUAGAUUUUUCGUGUGUAAUAUUUAACCGUCCGUCUUAUUUAAAAUUUUUUUAUGAUUAGUAUUUUUAUUGGUAUUAAAUGAUAAAACAUGGAUGAUACUUUAUGAGUGACUUUUUUUAAUUUUUUUAAUAUUUUUUUCAAAUAAGAUAAACGGUCAAAUAUUGGACAGAAACCUACAACUGUACUUCAA
Molecule: non-coding RNA, 203 nt
Organism: Oryza glumipatula
Lineage: Eukaryota; Viridiplantae; Streptophyta; Magnoliopsida; Poales; Poaceae
Source: Rfam